GACGAACGCUGGCGGCGUGCUUAACACAUGCAAGUCGAACGGAAAGGCCCUGCUUUUGUGGGGUGCUCGAGUGGCGAACGGGUGAGUAACACGUGAGUAACCUGCCCUUGACUUUGGGAUAACUUCAGGAAACUGGGGCUAAUACAGGAUAGGAGCUACUGCUGCAUGGUGGGGGUGGGAAAGUUUCGGCGGUUGGGGAUGGACUCGCGGCUUAUCAGCUUGUUGGUGGGGUAGUGGCUUACCAAGGCUUUGACGGGUAGCCGGCCUGAGAGGGUGACCGGCCACAUUGGGACUGAGAUACGGCCCAGACUCCUACGGGAGGCAGCAGUGGGGAAUAUUGCACAAUGGGCGGAAGCCUGAUGCAGCAACGCCGCGUGCGGGAUGACGGCCUUCGGGUUGUAAACCGCUUUCGCCUGUGACGAAGCGUGAGUGACGGUAAUGGGUAAAGAAGCACCGGCUAACUACGUG
Molecule: ribosomal RNA, 468 nt
Filed under: uncultured bacterium
Lineage: Bacteria
Description: partial 16S ribosomal RNA
Rfam family: Bacterial small subunit ribosomal RNA
Source: RNAcentral